UUCAUGUGUCACUAGUAAUUUCAACAGGGGAGACGGUUCUCAGGAUUUGAAGAGCAAAAAGGGUGCUGCAACUGUAGUAAGACGGCGUUUGACAACCAAUGUUCCGCGGUAUGUUGAUGAUGAGAUUUUCUCAGACGAGAGUUGUGGAGAAAUGGAUCCUUCUUAUUGGACAGAUGGGGAGAAGUCUCUUUUCAUAGAAGCAGUGUCAGUUUAUGGGAAGAAUUUCUCAAUGAUCUCUACCCAUGUAGGAUCAAAAUCCGCG
This 262-nucleotide unclassified non-coding RNA is filed under the name Hevea brasiliensis (rubber tree). Lineage: Eukaryota; Viridiplantae; Streptophyta; Magnoliopsida; Malpighiales; Euphorbiaceae. The record is from RNAcentral.